RNAcentral lists this long non-coding RNA (1135 nucleotides) under Homo sapiens (human). RNAcentral describes it as "novel transcript". The record is from RNAcentral. Lineage: Eukaryota; Metazoa; Chordata; Mammalia; Primates; Hominidae.
AAUCUUAGCAUUCUUUUUUUUGUUGUUGUUGUUGUUGUUUGAGACAGAGGCUCGCCCUGUCGCCCAGGCUGGAGCGCAAUUGCGCAAUCUCGGCUCAUUGCAACCUCCACUUCUCAGGUUCAAGCAAUUCUCUUGCCUCAGCCUCUCAAGUAGUUGGGAUUACAGGCACCCACCACCACGCCCGACUAAUUUUAUGUAUUUUUAGUAGACACAGGGUUUCACCAUGUUGGCCAGGCUGCUCUCAAACUCUUGACCUGAGGUGAUCCACCUUGGCCUCCCAAAGUGUUGGGACUACAGGCGUGAGCCACUGCACCUGACUUAAUCUUAGCAUUCUUAAUGAAGACUUACAGUACAUAAGCCAUGAUUUUUUUGGUCAGGCAAUCAAUAGUUACUUAUUAGUGUCUACUCAAUGCAAAGCACCUUUCUUGGCAUUCUGGAGAAACAAAGAGAGAUUAUAAUUUAGGGAAGGAGAUAAAUUAAAAGGUUAAUUUAAAAAAUGAUAAGUGCACAGUUGAAGAGAUGUCACAAGCCAAGAAGACUGGCACAAAUGGUAGUGCUAAAGGAGUUCUUGGUCAUGGUGCCAUGUGCCUGUAAUCCCAGUUACUUGAGAGGCUGUGACAGGAGGGUUGCUUGAACCAAGGUGUUCAAGACUAGCCUGAGCAACAUAGCAAGUCCCGAUCUCAAAAAAAAAAAAAAAAGUUAUAAAAAAAGAUAGGUUCAAAUCCUAGCUAGGGAAAAAAAGAUAGAAGUCACUAGACUGGCAUAUUCUACAAAAGCAUAAUUGCUAGACUUUCUUAUGCGUCCUGCCUUUGUAACUGCUGUUGCCUCUGCCUGAUCUCCUUUCCACCUACUCUUUCCCACAAACUAAUUCAUGUGCUUCAAAACUACUAUUUUUUUCGUAUCAUUUCUAAUAUGGUGCUUGAUGCCUAGAACAUGUAGUCAUCUAUGUAAUGCCCAUUCCCAACAAACUUCCAAGCUUUUGUUAAUGCUGGAAUAAAUUAAUAUAAACCUAAAGUUUAUGAAUUAGUAUAAACCUAAAUGUCUGAAAAUAAUAGACAUGUAGUAUUGUAUUCUUACCUCAAAAUAUGUUGAAUCUUGCCAACAUUAAAUCAACACUGGUGUUCUUGCCUGUUAA